Molecule: non-coding RNA, 79 nt
Organism: Cordylochernes scorpioides
Lineage: Eukaryota; Metazoa; Arthropoda; Arachnida; Pseudoscorpiones; Chernetidae
Source: the annotation of a GenBank genome assembly
GUCCAUGGAUGGGAAACGAACCCACAGAAACGAAUCUUCCCUUACCGGGAAGAUGCCAUGUCCACUAGGCUACCCUGGA